GAGGGGAUAGCUCAGGGGUAGAGUGUGUGCUCAGCAUGCACAAGGUCCUGGGUUCAAUCCCCUGUACCUCCA
Molecule: transfer RNA, 72 nt
Filed under: Camelus bactrianus (Bactrian camel)
Lineage: Eukaryota; Metazoa; Chordata; Mammalia; Artiodactyla; Camelidae
Also listed under: 3 other names
Rfam family: tRNA
About the family: Transfer RNA (tRNA) molecules are approximately 80 nucleotides in length. Their secondary structure includes four short double-helical elements and three loops (D, anti-codon, and T loops). Further hydrogen bonds mediate the characteristic L-shaped molecular structure. tRNAs have two regions of fundamental functional importance: the anti-codon, which is responsible for specific mRNA codon recognition, and the 3' end, to which the tRNAs corresponding amino acid is attached (by aminoacyl-tRNA synthetases). tRNAs cope with the degeneracy of the genetic code in two manners: having more than one tRNA (with a specific anti-codon) for a particular amino acid; and 'wobble' base-pairing, i.e. permitting non-standard base-pairing at the 3rd anti-codon position.
Source: Rfam by way of RNAcentral